CCGCCUGUCUAGCUGGAAGUGCAGCUCCUCCAGGGCUGGGGCUGGCCAGGAGAGCAGAGGGCCUGGGUACAAUUCAGAGAUAGCACAACAGCUGGUUAUGCCUGAAUGGGAAGGGCACAUACCUUGUGGCUGCACCCGGAUUUCUCCAUCCAUGAGUAUCGGACAGGGUAACCCAAGCUUGCACCCUGUCUCCGUUCAGCCUAGGGGUGGGUUACAGUUUGUUUGUGGCAGAUUGCAAGGGUGACCAGAUGUCCCGAUUUUAUAAGGACAGUCCUGAUUUUGGGGUCUUUUUCUUAUAUAGGCUCCUAUUACACCCCAUCCCGAUUUUUGACAUUUGCUGUCUGGUCACCCUACAGAUCACACUGGGCAGGCAGCAGUUUGGCUGAAAUCAGUAGCAGACUCCCAGCUGAGCAGUAGCCGUGGCACUUGGGUCUCUGUGAAAGACUGUGUGUGUGAAUGAGGAAUGUAUGCAUCAGGAAAAGAUAAGGUGUGAAGGUCAUUGUUAUAGCUAGAUGGUCAAGGAAGAAGGAGUGAAGAAACUUAAUGACAUCAGAGAACUAUCAACGUGCAUCCAUAAUGAAGGAAGGGCAGAUUGACAACCCUGAGGUGGAGGCUGACACCCCUAAAGACAAGACAAUUGAUUAAAUCAAAACCAGGACAGGAUGACCUUCGGAGAGGUGUUUUGGAACGUUAACAUCAAAAGAUACAUCAAUUAAGGAGUAACCGGUCACAAACUGACACAGCAAAAUCCAUAGACUUCAACAGAG
Molecule: long non-coding RNA, 767 nt
Organism: Dermochelys coriacea (leatherback sea turtle)
Lineage: Eukaryota; Metazoa; Chordata; Testudines; Dermochelyidae
Exons: 2
Source: RefSeq, a predicted model, not a curated record